AACGAACGCUGGCGGCGUGCCUAACACAUGCAAGUCGAGCGGUAAGGCCCUUUCGGGGGUACACGAGCGGCGAACGGGUGAGUAACACGUGGGUGACCUGCCCUCAGCUCUGGGAUAAGCCUGGGAAACCGGGUCUAAUACCGGAUAUGACUCCAUGACGCAUGUUGUGGGGUGGAAAGCCUUGUGCGGCUGAGGAUGGGCCCGCGGCCUAUCAGCUUGUUGGUGGGGUGAUGGCCUACCAAGGCGACGACGGGUAGCCGGCCUGAGAGGGCGACCGGCCACACUGGGACUGAGACACGGCCCAGACUCCUACGGGAGGCAGCAGUGGGGAAUCUUGCGCAAUGGGCGAAAGCCUGACGCAGCGACGCCGCGUGAGGGAUGACGGCCUGGUGU
This 393-nucleotide ribosomal RNA is filed under the name uncultured bacterium. RNAcentral describes it as "bacterial SSU rRNA". It matches the Rfam family "Bacterial small subunit ribosomal RNA", at positions 28 to 422 of the family's 1533-position model. The record is from RNAcentral.